UUGAAGAGUUUGAUCAUGGCUCAGAUUGAACGCUGGCGGCAGGCCUAACACAUGCAAGUCGAGCGGUAGCACAGAGAGCUUGCUCUCGGGUGACGAGCGGCGGACGGGUGAGUAAUGUCUGGGAAACUGCCUGAUGGAGGGGGAUAACUACUGGAAACGGUAGCUAAUACCGCAUAACGUCGCAAGACCAAAGUGGGGGACCUUCGGGCCUCAUGCCAUCAGAUGUGCCCAGAUGGGAUUAGCUAGUAGGUGGGGUAACGGCUCACCUAGGCGACGAUCCCUAGCUGGUCUGAGAGGAUGACCAGCCACACUGGAACUGAGACACGGUCCAGACUCCUACGGGAGGCAGCAGUGGGGAAUAUUGCACAAUGGGCGCAAGCCUGAUGCAGCCAUGCCGCGUGUGUGAAGAAGGCCUUCGGGUUGUAAAGCACUUUCAGCGGGGAGGAAGGCGGUGAGGUUAAUAACCUCACCGAUUGACGUUACCCGCAGAAGAAGCACCGGCUAACUCCGUGCCAGCAGCCGCGGUAAUACGGAGGGUGCAAGCGUUAAUCGGAAUUACUGGGCGUAAAGCGCACGCAGGCGGUCUGUCAAGUCGGAUGUGAAAUCCCCGGGCUCAACCUGGGAACUGCAUUCGAAACUGGCAGGCUAGAGUCUUGUAGAGGGGGGUAGAAUUCCAGGUGUAGCGGUGAAAUGCGUAGAGAUCUGGAGGAAUACCGGUGGCGAAGGCGGCCCCCUGGACAAAGACUGACGCUCAGGUGCGAAAGCGUGGGGAGCAAACAGGAUUAGAUACCCUGGUAGUCCACGCUGUAAACGAUGUCGAUUUGGAGGUUGUGCCCUUGAGGCGUGGCUUCCGGAGCUAACGCGUUAAAUCGACCGCCUGGGGAGUACGGCCGCAAGGUUAAAACUCAAAUGAAUUGACGGGGGCCCGCACAAGCGGUGGAGCAUGUGGUUUAAUUCGAUGCAACGCGAAGAACCUUACCUGGUCUUGACAUCCACAGAACUUUCCAGAGAUGGAUUGGUGCCUUCGGGAACUGUGAGACAGGUGCUGCAUGGCUGUCGUCAGCUCGUGUUGUGAAAUGUUGGGUUAAGUCCCGCAACGAGCGCAACCCUUAUCCUUUGUUGCCAGCGGUUAGGCCGGGAACUCAAAGGAGACUGCCAGUGAUAAACUGGAGGAAGGUGGGGAUGACGUCAAGUCAUCAUGGCCCUUACGACCAGGGCUACACACGUGCUACAAUGGCAUAUACAAAGAGAAGCGACCUCGCGAGAGCAAGCGGACCUCAUAAAGUAUGUCGUAGUCCGGAUUGGAGUCUGCAACUCGACUCCAUGAAGUCGGAAUCGCUAGUAAUCGUAGAUCAGAAUGCUACGGUGAAUACGUUCCCGGGCCUUGUACACACCGCCCGUCACACCAUGGGAGUGGGUUGCAAAAGAAGUAGGUAGCUUAACCUUCGGGAGGGCGCUUACCACUUUGUGAUUCAUGACUGGGGUGAAGUCGUAACAAGGUAACCGUAGGGGAACCUGCGGUUGGAUCACCUCCUU
RNAcentral lists this ribosomal RNA (1536 nucleotides) under Klebsiella variicola. RNAcentral's name for it is "bacterial SSU rRNA". It matches the Rfam family "Bacterial small subunit ribosomal RNA". Lineage: Bacteria; Pseudomonadati; Pseudomonadota; Gammaproteobacteria; Enterobacterales; Enterobacteriaceae. The record is from RNAcentral.